UGGGGAAUCUUGCGCAAUGGACGAAAGUCUGACGCAGCCACGCCGCGUGAGUGAAGAAGGCCUUCGGGUUGUAAAGCUCUGUCGGGAGGGACGAACAUCAUAUGGGUUAACAGCCUAUGUGACUGACGGUACCUUCAAAGGAAGCACCGGCUAACUCUGUGCCAGCAGCCGCGGUAAUACAGAGGGUGCAAGCGUUGCUCGGAAUUAUUGGGCGUAAAGGGUAGGUAGGUGGUCUCAUUUGUCUAGGGUGAAAGCCUUGAGCUUAACUCAAGAAGUGCCCUAGAAACGGUGAGACUGGAGUCCUGGAGAGGGUCGUGGAAUUCCCGGUGUAGCGGUGAAAUGCGUAGAGAUCGGGAGGAACACCAGCGGCGAAGGCGGCGACCUGGACAGGUACUGACACUGAACUACGAAAGCGUGGGGAGCAAACAGGAUUAGAUACCCCUGUAGUCC
This 450-nucleotide ribosomal RNA is filed under the name uncultured bacterium. RNAcentral describes it as "bacterial SSU rRNA". It matches the Rfam family "Bacterial small subunit ribosomal RNA", at positions 355 to 796 of the family's 1533-position model. The record is from RNAcentral.